UCCUUCUUAUCGAAGGCAGUUUUCAACGAUUUCACCCUGCAUGUCAAACCCAGGUAAGGUUCUUCGCGUUGCAUCGAAUUAAGCCGCAUGCUCCGCCGCUUGUGCGGGCCCCCGUCAAUUCCUUUGAGUUUUAGCCUUGCGGCCGUACUCCCCAGGCGGGGUGCUUAAUGCGUUAGCUUCGGCACGGACGGGGUCGAUAUCCGCCCACACCUAGCACCCAACGUUUACGGCUAGGACUAC
RNAcentral lists this unclassified non-coding RNA (240 nucleotides) under uncultured Actinomycetes bacterium. RNAcentral's name for it is "uncultured actinobacterium contains 16S-23S intergenic spacer region". The record is from RNAcentral. Lineage: Bacteria; Bacillati; Actinomycetota; Actinomycetes.